GCCUUGCCCAGGGACCAUGGGAACGAGCCGUCGAGAAUGGUUGACUACACACGGCUGGCACUUCCUGCAAGGAAACCCUAGGAUUGGGGUGCUGAGUAGGGACACGCUCUGAGCAUCUCGGGAGCCUCCAGGGAAAUGGAGAAAACUGACCUUCAGACUUAUCACCACCCUGGAGAAAGGUGUUCAGUCUGCCCAGCUGUGGACCACCCAGUUUUCUUGAGGAGCUUAGAGCGCGCGUCACCAUCUCUCCCUCUCGGACUCCAGUCCUCAGGUUUGAAUCAGAACCUCCGCCCGCCUGCCGUUGGACUGUCAUUGAGCCAGAAAGUGACACUGAGACAACCGAGCUGUCAUUUGUGCUUCGGGAGCUGGUGAAGGGGCAGCAGUGGGAGAGUUGUCUCACACAGAUCUACUCAAAUCCAGAAAACGAGGCACGAUGAAGGUGUAGUGGGUCAGUUCCUAUGCAGAGUGGUUGAAGAGACGGUGACCCACAGGCUGAAAGGUGCCUUCCUCCUCUGGGGCCCCUCAACUCAUCCCGACACUGAGACAAGAUACGCUGGCCGCCUUCUCUCUGCCACCACCCUGUCUUCUGGACCACUAGACUUUAUCAAGUGAAGGUAUCCUCCAUCAGGGCUGCUCCGACUCCUAAGACAUUGAAUGAACUCAAUCCUGAACUUGUGUAUGAACAUGUCCAAAGAAGAUGACGCCUGCUAGCCUUGGAAGGCCCAUUGCUUAUGUGGGAGAGCGGGGAGGCCAUACAGGGGGGCAGUAGCCACCCAGGCUCUGGAAUGACCUCCACGCAGAGCCCAGGACUGAGACGCAUGAGCCAGGGUCAAGGGCUGCUGGUGUGAGGACCCAUAAAGGCUUCGGGGAAGAUCUUGGAGGAUGACCUGUGGGAUUACCUUAGAGUUGUCACCGAGGCUGAGAGGGUGGGGACAUACACACAGGACACACUCUGGGAAACAUAGUGAGCAUUUCUGGUCCUGGGAGAUGCCGAAGGGCAUCAUUAUCAUGGAUAAGAACACAGAUGGUGGGGGCUGGAGAGAUGGUGCAGGGGUUAAGAGCUGGUACUGAUCUUUCGUACAGUCAGAGCUUGGUUUCCAAUACCCACUCUGGGCAGCUCACAGCUGCCUGUGACUCCAGCUGCAGCUGCGGCGAGCAGGCAUCUUCUCCUGGAGACUCUGCAUAACCCUAUAACCCUGCACAAGAGACACACAUAAGCACACAAUUAAACAUUAAUAAGGAAGAGAA
This is a long non-coding RNA of Mesocricetus auratus (golden hamster), 1248 nucleotides long. RefSeq lists it as uncharacterized. Lineage: Eukaryota; Metazoa; Chordata; Mammalia; Rodentia; Cricetidae. The record is from RefSeq and is a predicted model, not a curated record. The transcript has 5 exons.